GAUGAACGCUGGCGGCGUGCCUAAUACAUGCAAGUCGAGCGAACGGACGAGAAGCUUGCUUCUCUGAUGUUAGCGGCGGACGGGUGAGUAACACGUGGAUAACCUACCUAUGAGACUGGGAUAACUUCGGGAAACCGGAGCUAAUACCGGAUAAUAUUUUGAACCGCAUGGUUCAAAAGUGAAAGACGGUCUUGCUGUCACUUAUAGAUGGAUCCGCGCUGCAUUAGCUAGUUGGUAAGGUAACGGCUUACCAAGGCAACGAUGCAUAGCCGACCUGAGAGGGUGAUCGGCCACACUGGAACUGAGACACGGUCCAGACUCCUACGGGAGGCAGCAGUAGGGAAUCUUCCGCAAUGGGCGAAAGCCUGACGGAGCAACGCCGCGUGAGUGAUGAAGGUCUUCGGAUCGUAAAACUCUGUUAUUAGGGAAGAACAUAUGUGUAAGUAACUGUGCACAUCUUGACGGUACCUAAUCAGAAAGCCACGGCUAACUACGUGCCAGCAGCCGCGGUAAUACGUAGGUGGCAAGCGUUAUCCGGAAUUAUUGGGCGUAAAGCGCGCGUAGGCGGUUUUUUAAGUCUGAUGUGAAAGCCCACGGCUCAACCGUGGAGGGUCAUUGGAAACUGGAAAACUUGAGUGCAGAAGAGGAAAGUGGAAUUCCAUGUGUAGCGGUGAAAUGCGCAGAGAUAUGGAGGAACACCAGUGGCGAAGGCGACUUUCUGGUCUGUAACUGACGCUGAUGCGCGAAAGCGUGGGGAUCAAACAGGAUUAGAUACCCUGGUAGUCCACGCCGUAAACGAUGAGUGCUAAGUGUUAGGGGGUUUCCGCCCCUUAGUGCUGCAGCUAACGCAUUAAGCACUCCGCCUGGGGAGUACGACCGCAAGGUUGAAACUCAAAGGAAUUGACGGGGACCCGCACAAGCGGUGGAGCAUGUGGUUUAAUUCGAAGCAACGCGAAGAACCUUACCAAAUCUUGACAUCCUUUGACAACUCUAGAGAUAGAGCCUUCCCCUUCGGGGGACAAAGUGACAGGUGGUGCAUGGUUGUCGUCAGCUCGUGUCGUGAGAUGUUGGGUUAAGUCCCGCAACGAGCGCAACCCUUAAGCUUAGUUGCCAUCAUUAAGUUGGGCACUCUAAGUUGACUGCCGGUGACAAACCGGAGGAAGGUGGGGAUGACGUCAAAUCAUCAUGCCCCUUAUGAUUUGGGCUACACACGUGCUACAAUGGACAAUACAAAGGGCAGCGAAACCGCGAGGUCAAGCAAAUCCCAUAAAGUUGUUCUCAGUUCGGAUUGUAGUCUGCAACUCGACUACAUGAAGCUGGAAUCGCUAGUAAUCGUAGAUCAGCAUGCUACGGUGAAUACGUUCCCGGGUCU
Molecule: ribosomal RNA, 1372 nt
Filed under: uncultured bacterium
Lineage: Bacteria
Description: bacterial SSU rRNA
Rfam family: Bacterial small subunit ribosomal RNA
Source: RNAcentral